RNAcentral lists this ribosomal RNA (542 nucleotides) under uncultured archaeon. RNAcentral's name for it is "bacterial SSU rRNA". It matches the Rfam family "Bacterial small subunit ribosomal RNA", at positions 513 to 1050 of the family's 1533-position model. The record is from RNAcentral.
AGCCGCGGUCAUACGUAGGGUCCAAGCAUUAUCCGGAGUGACUGGGUGUAAAGAGUUGCGUAGGUGGCAUAGUAAGUAGAUAGUGAAAUCUGGUGGCUCAACCAUUCAGACUGUUAUCUAAACUACUAAGCUCGAGACCGUUAGGGGUAACUGGAAUUUCUAGUGUAGGAGUGAAAUCCGUAGAUAUUAGAAGGAACACCGAUAGCGUAGGCAGGUUACUGGGACGGUUCUGACACUAAGGCACGAAAGCGUAGGGAGCGAACGGGAUUAGAUACCCCGGUAGUCUACGCCGUAAACGAUGGAUACUAGCAGUUUUGGGUAUCGACCCCCGGAGUUGCGAAGCUAACGCGUUAAGUAUCCCACCUGUGUAGUACGAUCGCAAGAUUAAAACAUAAAGGAAUUGACGGGGACCCGCACAAGCGGUGGAGCGUGAUCUUUAAUUCGAUGAUAAACGAUAAACCUUACCAAGGCUUGACAUCUCGGGAAGGCUCUCGAAAGAGAACUGUGCUUUUUAAGAACUCGAAGACAGGAGGUGCAUGGCC